CGGGAUGUAGCGCAGCCUGGUAGCGCACCUGCUUCGGGAGCAGGGGGUCGCUAGUUCGAAUCUAGUCAUCCCGACCA
Molecule: transfer RNA, 77 nt
Filed under: Pelotalea chapellei
Lineage: Bacteria; Pseudomonadati; Thermodesulfobacteriota; Desulfuromonadia; Geobacterales; Geobacteraceae
Also listed under: 16 other names
Description: tRNA-Pro
Rfam family: tRNA
About the family: Transfer RNA (tRNA) molecules are approximately 80 nucleotides in length. Their secondary structure includes four short double-helical elements and three loops (D, anti-codon, and T loops). Further hydrogen bonds mediate the characteristic L-shaped molecular structure. tRNAs have two regions of fundamental functional importance: the anti-codon, which is responsible for specific mRNA codon recognition, and the 3' end, to which the tRNAs corresponding amino acid is attached (by aminoacyl-tRNA synthetases). tRNAs cope with the degeneracy of the genetic code in two manners: having more than one tRNA (with a specific anti-codon) for a particular amino acid; and 'wobble' base-pairing, i.e. permitting non-standard base-pairing at the 3rd anti-codon position.
Source: RNAcentral